Molecule: ribosomal RNA, 633 nt
Filed under: Rhabdothamnopsis sinensis
Lineage: Eukaryota; Viridiplantae; Streptophyta; Magnoliopsida; Lamiales; Gesneriaceae
Description: eukaryotic LSU rRNA
Rfam family: 5.8S ribosomal RNA (bases 240-395)
Source: RNAcentral
UCGAAACCUGCAAAGCAGACCCGUGAACAUGUUUUGAUAAGAUUGUGGCCGUGAUGCUGGAUCCGUUCGCGCCCAACAUCACGGCCUCGACCCCCAAAUGAUGUAAGUUGCUUGGGUGUACUAACCUCGCGGCGCGGCAAGCGCCAAGGAAAACAAAACCGAUCACCUCCUCCGUCUGGGUGCUGCUUUAUGCGGUGCCCAUGACGUGAUGGGGAGAAUCAAAAUGAAAUAGUCAUAACGACUCUCGGCAACGGAUAUCUCGGCUCUCGCAUCGAUGAAGAACGUAGCGAAAUGCGAUACUUGGUGUGAAUUGCAGAAUCCCGUGAACCAUCGAGUCUUUGAACGCAAGUUGCGCCCGAAGCCAUCAGGCCGAGGGCACGUCUGCCUGGGCGUCACGAAUUGCGUCGCCCCCAACAUCAUCGUUCUCCACUUACAGUCGGGAAWCGRUGCAUGAUAUGGCGGGGUGGAUAUUGGCCUCCCGUUAUCUCUGUGUAGCGGCCGGCUKAAAUAAAAAACCGUGUCGAUGGAUGUCACAUGAUACGUGGUGGUUGGAUUCGUCAACUUUUGAACUAUCAUGCCAGACAAUAUCGUGUCACGGGAACGACCCACUGGCAGCAAAUGCCCUCGAAUGCG